Anguilla rostrata (American eel) is the source of this 4469-nucleotide long non-coding RNA. RefSeq lists it as uncharacterized. The record is from RefSeq and is a predicted model, not a curated record. Lineage: Eukaryota; Metazoa; Chordata; Actinopteri; Anguilliformes; Anguillidae. The transcript is spliced from 2 exons.
AAAUCUCUAUUACUGACCCUUCACUUUAUGAGAUAACUCGGAUCACUGAUCUGAAAUCAGUAGGGAAUGAUGAAGUAAUCUGGAAAUGCAGCACCAGAGGUGCCAACUACUACAUUUUGUCUAUAACAGCUAAAGUUUUGAACCCCUGCUAUGUGACUAUGAAUUCUGAUAGUGAAUUAAAGCUUAAAUAAAUCUGCCUCUAAUUGAUUGUUUUAAAAUUAACUCUGAUGUGAACAAAGUGCAUGCCCUAAUUGACUUCCCAAAAGAAAUGUAUGGUAACAUGACGUGCAGAGUUGUGAAAAACUGAAUUUGAAUAUCUUUAGCCUAGGUGUAUAAUAAACUAUAAUUGAAAGUAAUAACACAUUCUAAAGAUUUUGUGUUGUAUGAGCUACUUUUGUUCAGUUCACCUAUCUAUAAAACCAGCAUCAGAGUUGACUGAGCUAUUGGGAUGGCAGGUAUUGUGAGGAAGGGGGGAGUGUCGGAGCACCACACACAACUGUACAGGGACUCAAAAAGCUUAUCACCGAGGUGAUAAGCCACAGAGGCUAGAGGAAACGAGGAAGGGGAAAAAUAAAACAGAAUGACCGGAGUGAAAACUCAAACUCCCUGUCAAGCCUUAAAAAAUGGCCAGACCGAAAACAACCCUGUAAAAACAAGGGCGAGAAACAGAGAACAAAAACACUUAGUCACAGCUCAGACCCGAAACAAAACAAAAAAAGAAAACUUGGGGUCAAAAACCGGGAGACCCAAGAACCUAAGGCGCAGCUUAGGAAAAAGAAAAGGUAAAGCCCUAACGGUCUGCCGGCACGAAGCCCAGAAACACAGACCGAAAUACAAACCUUCUAAGGGGAGAGAAUAGAAGGCUUUUAAACAGGCUCUGAAUUACCUUACCAGCUCAAUGUGGACGUAAGUUGACACUGAAGCAAGGACUGAAAGUCAGACAGUGUCUUAAAUACCCUUGCACGACGCAGGUGGCCGAAAUCACGGCAUAGGGAGGAAUAAAUGGAAACAGGUGCAUCUAAUGAGGUCGUAAUCAGGCCGGGAGGCCCUCAAGCGGCCAAAGACGACAGGUAUGCCUUCCUGCCAAGUUACACCAUGGCGGAGCGGCAUGCUCCAUACCUAUGCAGCACCGAGAGUUUGGCAAUUUUCAGGGUUUCCUACAGAAAUAACCACAAUGACCAAAUUCACAAACAACUUCACUUGUCCGCUCAAUAAAGCCCCAAACUUAGAGGAUUUUGCAUUUUCUCCUUCUUCUUUUUUUGCCUGCCUGAUUAUAUCAUCACAAUGUUUCAAGCCCACAAACAGUAUGUCUCCUCAUUAGACUUGAACUACACCAGCUAAUAACAACAAUACAUUUAUCCAUCCAUCCAUCCAUCCAUUCUCUAAACCAUUUAAUCCAGGUCAGGGUUGCGGUGGCAAAGGGGCAAGCAGAGCAGCCCAGACGUCCCUCUCCCCAGCAACUCCGACUAAGUCAUCCCGGUGGAUCCCCAGGCGAUCCCAGGCCAGCCUUUGAUCCCAGGCUAGCAUUUGGUUCAUUGUGAAGGUUUUCUUGCUGGCUAGGCCAUAUGAAACUAAAACCUGGCUUGAAUUACAGUUGAAUUGAGUUAAACUAGUCCCUAAUGUCAAAACAUGUCAUCCUGCAUUUCCACUCCUUUAGACAUCUUCAUUCCAUUUAUAUUUGGGCUUGUGCUUACUGGGCUACCUUCUUUAAAAGCAUGAGCAAAUGACGGCAUUAACCUCUUAGUGCAAAGCCCCUAGUGGUCGGAAUGCUGGCAUGCCGAGAUUACUGAACUCAGACAUUCAGUGCUACUGCAACCAAAGUAUAAGUUAAAAACAGAAACGCUUUGUUUUAGUUUCAUUAAUAUAUGUAACAUUUCAUUUAACAAGCACCCCCUCCCUGCGGUCUCAUCUGCAACUACACCCCCCACCCAUGACAUAAUGGACAAUAUUGUCUAUCUGGGCAUUCAUAAAAAUAUUCUUUCACCACUCAAAAAUCAUAUUCCGUCAUAGCAAAACGAUAAACCCGACAAUAGCCCUAAGAUAUCCCUAUACAGCAGUGAAAACGCUGCUCACUGAAUAACGAAGUAAAUGAGACAAGUUUUCAAAAAUGAUACCAUGUCAUUCUACAGUCAGUAUUUGGGUCUAAAUAUUGAAUAUAUGGUUGUACACGUAGAGUUGUCCCUUUUGAGACGGAGUGGUCAUAUAUUGUCUUGGACAAUCUGUUUGUGAAAUAUACACACAUUUGUGACGCCUUACCUUCCAAAAUAGCUGUGCGUAAUACCACACGUGUUGUUUACUCCGUUGUCGCCCUUUUUAGUACUGUCUGGCUUGAUUGGCAGUUCAUUUGCUCAGUAGAUGAGAGUAUAAGCUUUCUAAUGAUGUAUAACAUGUCUAAUUUUGUUUUUGGAAUAGCGUUUUAUAGGUCAGCGUAACCGAAAGUUUUCUUAUCAUCACAUUCACUUACGCAUUCACUCUGUGGUAGCAGUAAAAGACGAAACGUUGUGAACGAUUUCUUGGAAAAUACUAUUAUUAUUGAGGACGUCUGGGCAUAGCUAAGCCAUAUGUUUGCUGAUAGACCUAGCUGACAUUGUUUUCUGGAGUAAGACCGAAGCGGAUAGAACUAAUUGAUUUACUGUCUCUGUCUCUAUCUACUGAACACAGAUAACAUUUCAUCAUCCCUAUGUAAGUAUAAUAAAUAUUAAAAUAUUUUGGAUAUUUAUGUUAAAUUGAAAAAUGAAAUUGAGUGUCUUCAAAUAUGUUAGUGGCAUUUUAUAAUGAGGAUAUUUCACACUGUAAUGUAAGCGUUGACAUUACAGUGAUGACAGGAGAGUUGGAACAUUGCCAAAAUGUGGUGGACGGUUGAAAAUUGUUUUCAUGUUGUCCCAUCUCCAUACAAGAAUACAUACGAGAGUACAGAGUAUAGAAAUACAUACAAGAGUUAAUUAUUACACAUUUAGGUACUGUACUGCAUUGUGUGACAAUAUUUUUGCAUUAUUUUUUAAUCUGAUAUCAAUGUUUCAUCUUAAACCUUCAUAAGGGUCUCGUUUAUAUGCUUUAUAAUGGACAAAAAGCAUUUCAUUUAUUUUUGGAGAGAUUUUGGAUAUGUUACUGGAACCCUCGCUAUUUUAGACCACUGUACUGAUGGAAAGCUUGUAAUUCCCAUUUGAAAAUUGAUGCAACAGUGAGUUUCUUGAGUCAAAACACUUGAUUUGUAGUGAAAUAUGUGAAUACGUUGUGAUUUCAGCAAUGCAUAAUUUUGACAUUUUGGGUAGAUUUGGAGACGCUGGGUACACUGCUUAGUUUUUGCUUCAUAGAUCUUUAGUAUUUCUACAUAUCCACCCUUAGGUUUUAUGAACUUGUGGUCAAGAAGUUUUUGAUUCAGGACAUGUAUAGUUUAACCUGCUGUAUAUAUACAAUAUCUCAGUAUUGCAUUGCAAAAUAAAAAAGAAUUUUUUUAUUUUUUGCAUAGACAGUUGCAUUUGUGGCACUUUAUUUCUUCCAAAAUUAUGAAUAUAAACUAUUCUAAAUUAGUAUUUUAAAUGGUACAAAUGUCUUGCUUCAUUUAAGCCAUUUUUUAAGUCUCUGUGGUGUUCACAUCUGGAGUUAUAAAGCCUUUAAUAGGGUACCCCCUAAAUGGGCAAGGAUUGGCCAGAUUUGGCAUAUGCGCUAAGGGGUUAAAGAACAUCUUAUUGUCAUGGGUUUGGGGUGCAGUUCCGUUUUUUGGCCCACCGGCCUGAUUAUUACCUUAUUGGAUGCACCUGUUCCCAAUUAUUCCUCCCUAUGCCGUGAUUUCGGCCACCUGCGUAAGGCAAGGCUAUUUAACCCUCUGGGGUCGAGAGCUCCGCCGGCGGAGCUCGACAAGAUUAAAUUAACUUUCGUUUCUAUUUGGAUGAUUAACUUCACGUGCUGUUAUCAUACAGACGCAACAAAAACAUUGACAGAAACCUUAGAAUCGCGACUUUCCAAUGCGCCCAUUGGCAAAUAAUAUGAAUUGUUUUAAAAGUUUUAAAUUUGAUCAAUUAGACCAUGUAUGCUUUGUUAAACUUUACUCAUUACUAUGUGAAUUUCGCUCAGCAGGAAGUCCGCCCAAAUCGCAUUCACAUGUUAACAACAUUAUAAUUACUCUCCAUAGAAGGAGACUAAAGGAGGGGCGAUGCGAGAUCCAUGUGAGAAAUGCCAAGUCUGCGAAAGCGGGAUAGAAUGUCAAAGUGUCGCCUAAUUCACUUCUUUUGAGGUGAACAUUUCGUUUAAUUUUGGAAAAUGGUCCGUCCGGAAGCCGACACUGACAAAGAGCGGUGUCAUUUCGAACAGCGAACCGAUCCAGCUGAGGAUCAACUUCAUGCAGAUGUUGAUCAGGAAACACAGCCUAGUUCACCACUAGCUAAGAGGCCAGGCAGGCGUUGCAAGAGUACACCAGUCUCAUCUCAUCUUCCAUGCAGUUUACUUCAAUAAAUGUUCUAAAAUCAAAA